This 468-nucleotide ribosomal RNA is filed under the name uncultured bacterium. RNAcentral's name for it is "bacterial SSU rRNA". It matches the Rfam family "Bacterial small subunit ribosomal RNA", at positions 34 to 518 of the family's 1533-position model. The record is from RNAcentral.
CGCUGGCGGCGUGCUUAACACAUGCAAGUCGAGCGAUGAAGCUCUUCGGGAGUGGAUUAGCGGCGGACGGGUGAGUAACACGUGGGUAACCUGCCUCAUAGAGGGGAAUAGCCUUCCGAAAGGAAGAUUAAUACCGCAUAAGAUUGUAAUAUCGCAUGAUAUAGCAAUUAAAGGAGCAAUCCGCUAUGAGAUGGACCCCGCGUCGCAUUAGCUAGUUGGUGAGGUAACGGCUCACCAAGGCGACGAUGCGUAGCCGACCUGAGAGGGUGAUCGGCCACAUUGGGACUGAGACACGGCCCAGACUCCUACGGGAGGCAGCAGUGGGGAAUAUUGCACAAUGGGGGAAACCCUGAUGCAAGCAACGCCGCGUGAGUGAUGACGGUCUUCGGAUUGUAAAGCUCUGUCUUCAGGGACGAUAAUGACGGUACCUGAGGAGGAAGCCACGGCUAACUACGUGCCAGCCGCGGC